UCUGCUGAGGAGCUGCUGCCCCUCUGCACAGCCCUCACACAGCAAACAGCCUCUUCUGAGGAUUCAGGCAGCCUGCCUCGGCCUUGAACCUGCAUUACAAACUAGGAAAAACACCAGGCUCGCAUAUCUUUGAAAUCGCAUUGAGUCUCGCAUUGCUCUGUUUCUUCCAACAGUUCCCAUUUGUGUGCUGUGACACUUAAAGCCAUCAGACCCCCGAAGCAGAAGUCUGGGCAAUUACAGAUGGUGCUGGCUGUUCUGAGAGCUGAGCUGUGCACAGGCAGCUCUGUCCCUGCAUGUGCCAUGGUCAGGCAGUGCCAUGUAUGAAGCCCUGGAAUGAGUCUUUCUGGCCAGUGCAGCGUGAUGUGUGCAGGACUCCUACCGUCAGGCAAGAAAACAGAAGCAAGAUAUCAGCAUGUUCAAUGGCUGCAUUCUCCUGAGUGGAGGAAAAGUACCUGGGAAGGCAGUGAGAGGAGAGAUGAGGAGCUGCCUGCCGCAGAGAGAACAGCUGGCUGGAAGAGAACAUAUCAGGACAACUGCCAGCAUACUGAGCGAGAGGUGUUGGGAGUGUUUGUUGUUCACACUCACCAACCUGAUGUGAUUUAUUGUGCUUUUAUUUCAUCUCCCUUCAAAGAUGUUAUGUCUGUUUAAAUACAGUUUUCACUCUGUUGUUCACUACUGGAGAUGCUUCACUCAAGGAGGCCCAGGUAAUAACAAUGCAGCUUCUCCCUGGAAGCCCAAAAUAAUGUUUAAAUGACUUUCUGCAAAGACUGUAAAAAUUGAACACGACCUCUGCUUUGUUAGUCAGUUUGUGGCAGAACAGCAGGAAAGCCUGUCUGAACUUGAGUCCUAUUGCUGUGUUUAGACAGCAGUUUUUUCACAGUAAAGACAUGGCCUUGGAGUCCAUCGUCCCAGAAUAGAAGAGCGUGUCCAAAACACUUCUAAGGUAUUAUUUGUUCAUUAGUCUCUGAUCAUAUUCUAAGGAAGACAAAGCAGUACAUCCUUUUCAAUACAAGGGAAAUAUUUCCUAUUUCCUAAAUUUGGGGGGUAUAAAUUGAUUUUACUUCAGCCAAAUGGGGAGUCCAUCACACUGCAGGGGCCAGCAGAGCAUGGUGGGGUUGUUAAAAACAUAUGUAAGUCUAUGCUAAAUUCACUGAAUUUUACUAGUUUCAACACUGUACUUCAACACAUUCAAAAUGAAACCUUAUUUUUUUUCACAUCAAAAAACCCUUUCCUUUCAAGUCUUACCUGCACUUAUUUUAGUGAAAAUCAGCUUAUCUCCCCAAAAUAAAACAUGUCUUUUGCUAUUGUGUCCA
RNAcentral lists this long non-coding RNA (1313 nucleotides) under Chrysolophus pictus (golden pheasant). Its description in RNAcentral is "lncRNA (ENSCPIG00010012192.1)". Lineage: Eukaryota; Metazoa; Chordata; Aves; Galliformes; Phasianidae. The record is from RNAcentral.